GACGAACGCUGGCGGCGUGCUUAACACAUGCAAGUCGAACGAAGGGCGAUGGAGGCUUGCUUCUAUCAAUCUUAGUGGCGCACGGGUGAGUAACGCGCAAUCAACCUUCCCUUUAGGGGGGGACAACAGUAGGAAACGACUGCUUAUAACGCAUACGAUCUAAUCUCGGCAUCGAGGAGAGAUUAAAGGUGGCCUCUACAUGUAAGCCCUCACUGGAGGAGGGGAUUGCGCGUGGUUAGGUAGUUGGAGGGGGAAGGGCCCCCCAAGGCGAUGAUCAGUAGCCGGUCUGAGGGGAUGGACCGCCACAAUGGGACUGGGACCAGGCCCAGACUUCUACGGGAAGCAGCAGUGGGGGAACUUCCGCAAAUGGCGGAAGGCUGACGGAGCCACGCCCCGUUGGGGGUGACGGGCUUCGGGUUGGAAAGGUCUUUUUAUCGGGACGAAAGGCCUUCUUGCGAAUAGUGAGAAGGAUUGACGGUACCGGAAUAGAAAGCCACGGCUAACUACGUG
RNAcentral lists this ribosomal RNA (510 nucleotides) under uncultured bacterium. RNAcentral's name for it is "partial 16S ribosomal RNA". It matches the Rfam family "Bacterial small subunit ribosomal RNA", at positions 28 to 507 of the family's 1533-position model. The record is from RNAcentral.